Molecule: ribosomal RNA, 390 nt
Filed under: Triticum aestivum (bread wheat)
Lineage: Eukaryota; Viridiplantae; Streptophyta; Magnoliopsida; Poales; Poaceae
Description: partial small subunit ribosomal RNA
Source: RNAcentral
AUGAUUGAUGAGGAAACCAAAGCGGUCGUGGCUUUCAAAGUGAAGUCCCAUUUUGCACCAAAACCGCCCACGCCGCUAAAGGAGAUAAUACCUGCGAAAACCAUAGAGCACUUUGUGGGACUUCUAGAGCGAGCCCCGACACAUGUGGAGAAUAGGGCAUCAGACUAUGAACGCUCUAUUAGGAAGUCAUAUGAGGAACAAACGGAGCAGUCAAAAUGUACAAGUAGUAAUAAAAGCGGGAAAACAGUUGCCCAUCUCGAAGAAGAGGCAAUGCAAUUGAUCCCCCCGCUCAAGGUGAUUACCGAUAAGGUAACCGACAGAGCUAAAGACUCUGUAUCAGUGUUGAUCAACCUGUUAAGGAUUAAUUUAAUCCUAAUAAUCAAUGCUUAG